Molecule: ribosomal RNA, 1970 nt
Filed under: human gut metagenome
Description: bacterial LSU rRNA
Rfam family: Bacterial large subunit ribosomal RNA
Source: RNAcentral
GAAAGUAAUGAAGGGCGUACGGUGGAUGCCUAGGCUCUUACAGGCGAUGAAGGACGUGAUAAGCUGCGAAAAGCCGCGGUGAGGCGCAAAUGGCCCUUGACCCGCGGAUCUCCGAAUGGGACAACCCAAUAUCUUGAAGAGAUAUUAUCCCGCCGAUGCGGGAGGCGAACGCGGGGAACUGAAACAUCUUAGUACCCGCAGGAAAAGAAAAUAAAGAAUGAUUCCCCCAGUAGUGGCGAGCGACCGGGGAAGAGCCCAAACCGACGUUGUCUCGGCAUCGUCGGGGUUGUAGGACCGCGCCAUCGCAAGAAAGGCCGUGAGUGGAAGCGACUGGAAAGCCGCGCCAUAGAGGGUGACAGCCCCUUACACGAAGCAGCCCGAAGCGUAGCGGACUCCUGAGUAGCGCGGGACACGAGUAAUCCUGUGUGAAUCCGCCGGGCCCAUCCGGCAAGGCUAAAUACUCGUAAGAGACCGAUAGUGAACCAGUACCGUGAGGGAAAGGUGAAAAGUACCCCUUGCAGGGGAGUGAAAGAGUUCCUGAAACCGUACGCCUACAAGCGGUCGGAGCAUCUUGAAUGAUGUGACGGCGUGCCUUUUGCAUAAUGAACCUACGAGUUGCCGUCACCAGCGAGGUUAAGUGCGAUGACGCACCGAGCCGCAGCGGAAGCGAGUCUUAAAAGGGCGCGAUAGUUGGUGGAGGCAGACGCGAAACCGAGUGAUCUACACUUGUCCAGGAUGAAGUCCCGGUAACACGGGAUGGAGGUCCGCACCAAUAAGCGUUGAAAAGCUUCUGGAUGAGGUGAGUGUAGGAGUGAAAGGCCAAUCAAACUCGGAGAUAGCUCGUACUCCCCGAAAGGCAUUUAGGUGCCGCCUGUGGCGUUCCCGACGUGAGGUAGAGCGACUGAUAGGAUGCGAGGGCUUCACCGCCUAUCAAGUCCUGACAAACUCCGAAUGCACGUCGGCCAAGCCAUGGAGUAAGGGCAUGGGUGCUAAGGUCCGUGCCCGAGAGGAGAAGAAUCCAGACCACCGGCUAAGGUCCCGAAAUACUGGUUAAGUUAGACUAACGCAGUCCGGCCCCCAAGACAGCUAGGAUGUUGGCUUGGAAGCAGCCAUUCAUUCAAAGAGUGCGUAACAGCUCACUAGUCGAGGAGCUGGGCGUGGAUAAUAAUCGGGUAUGAAACCAGUUACCGAAGCCGUGGGAUGCUUAAGCAUCGGUAGGGGAGCAUUGCAUGCGGCUUAGAAGGCGGGGCGUGAGCCCCUCUGGAGCGCAUGGAAACGCAAAUGUAGGUAUAAGUAACGACAAGGGGGGUGGGAUGCCCCCCCGCCGAAAGACCAAGGUUUCCUGAACAACGCUAAUCGGUUCAGGGUCAGUCGGGUCCUAAGCAUAAGCCGUAUGGCGAGGGCGAUGGACGAAACGGUUAAUAUUCCGUUACUGUCUUGGUGUGUGACGCGGCGACGGAGUAGUGACACGGCCGCCUCCUGACGGAAAAGGGGGUUGAAGCGCAAAGGUGUCGAGGAAGGCAGGCAAAUCCACCUUCCGAGCCGAAGCGCGAAAGUACGCCGGGCCCUUUGGGGCAAGGCGAUAGUGCCGGUAAUCAGACUUCCAAGAAAACCCGCUAAACUUCAGCACCAAGUCACCCGUACUCUAAACGGACACACGUGGUCGGGUAGAAUAUACUAAGGCGCUUGGGAGAUUCACGGUUAAGGAACUAGGCAAAUUGACCCCGUACCUUCGGAAUAAGGGGUCCUCGCUUUUGCGAGGCGCAGAGAAUAGGUCCAGGCAACUGUUUAACAAAAACACAGGGCUGUGCAAAUUUGAAAGAAGAAGUAUACAGCCUGACACCUGCCCGGUGCCGGAAGGUUAAGAGGAGAGCUCAUCAGCGAUGAGAAGGCUUGAAUUGAAGCCCCGGUAAACGGCGGCCGUAACUAUAACGGUCCUAAGGUAGCGAAAUUCCUUGUCGGGUAAGUUC